UACGUAGGGGGCUAGCGUUGUCCGGAUUUAUUGGGCGUAAAGAGCGUGUAGGCGGCCAGGUAGGUCCGUUGUGAAAACUCGAGGCUCAACCUCGAGACGUCGGCGGAAACCCUCUGGCUAGAGUCCGGAAGAGGAGAGUGGAAUUCCUGGUGUAGCGGUGAAAUGCGCAGAUAUCAGGAAGAACACCCGUGGCGAAGGCGGCUCUCUGGGACGGUACUGACGCUGAGACGCGAAAGUCAGGGGAGCAAACGGG
This 253-nucleotide ribosomal RNA is filed under the name uncultured bacterium. RNAcentral's name for it is "partial 16S ribosomal RNA". It matches the Rfam family "Bacterial small subunit ribosomal RNA", at positions 524 to 776 of the family's 1533-position model. The record is from RNAcentral.